This 72-nucleotide transfer RNA is filed under the name Rhodanobacter glycinis. RNAcentral's name for it is "tRNA-Thr". It matches the Rfam family "tRNA". Rfam says of the family: Transfer RNA (tRNA) molecules are approximately 80 nucleotides in length. The record is from RNAcentral. Lineage: Bacteria; Pseudomonadati; Pseudomonadota; Gammaproteobacteria; Lysobacterales; Rhodanobacteraceae.
GCCUCCAUAGUUAAAUGGUAUCAACAUCGUUCUUGUAAUUCGAAGUCGGGAGUUCGAUUCUCUCUGGAGGCA